This 251-nucleotide ribosomal RNA is filed under the name uncultured bacterium. RNAcentral's name for it is "partial 16S ribosomal RNA". It matches the Rfam family "Bacterial small subunit ribosomal RNA", at positions 524 to 774 of the family's 1533-position model. The record is from RNAcentral.
UACGUAGGUGGCAAGCGUUAUCCGGAAUUAUUGGGCGUAAAGCGCGCGUAGGCGGUUUCUUAAGUCUGAUGUGAAAGCCCACGGCUCAACCGUGGAGGGUCAUUGGAAACUGGGAAACUUGAGUGCAGAAGAGGAAAGUGGAAUUCCAUGUGUAGCGGUGAAAUGCGCAGAGAUAUGGAGGAACACCAGUGGCGAAGGCGACUUUCUGGUCUGUAACUGACGCUGAUGUGCGAAAGCGUGGGGAUCAAACA